Molecule: ribosomal RNA, 482 nt
Filed under: uncultured bacterium
Lineage: Bacteria
Description: partial 16S ribosomal RNA
Rfam family: Bacterial small subunit ribosomal RNA
Source: RNAcentral
AUUGAACGCUGGCGGCAUGCCUUACACAUGCAAGUCGAACGGUAACAGGUCUUCGGAUGCUGACGAGUGGCGAACGGGUGAGUAAUACAUCGGAACGUGCCCGAUCGUGGGGGACAACGAGGCGAAAGCUUUGCUAAUACCGCAUACGAUCUACGGAUGAAAGCGGGGGAUCUUCGGACCUCGCGCGGACGGAGCGGCCGAUGGCAGAUUAGGUAGUUGGUGGGAUAAAAGCUUACCAAGCCGACGAUCUGUAGCUGGUCUGAGAGGAUGAUCAGCCACACUGGGACUGAGACACGGCCCAGACUCCUACGGGAGGCAGCAGUGGGGAAUUUUGGACAAUGGGCGAAAGCCUGAUCCAGCCAUGCCGCGUGCAGGAUGAAGGCCUUCGGGUUGUAAACUGCUUUUGUACGGAACGAAAAGCCUCUUUCUAAUAAAGAGGGGUCAUGACGGUACCGUAAGAAUAAGCACCGGCUAACUACGUG